UACGGAGGGUGCGAGCGUUGUUCGGAAUCACUGGGCGUAAAGGGCGCGUAGGCGGCGUGUUAAGUCAGAUGUGAAAGCCCACGGCUUAACUGUGGAAGUGCAUUUGAAACUGGCAUGCUUGAGUACCAGAGGGGAAGGUGGAAUUCCCGGUGUAGAGGUGAAAUUCGUAGAUAUCGGGAGGAAUACCGGUGGCGAAGGCGACUUUCUGGCUGGAUACUGACGCUGAGGCGCGAAAGCAUGGGGAGCAAACAGGAUUAGAUACCCUGGUAGUCCAUGCCGUAAACGACGUGAACUAGAUGUUGGAGGUGUUGAUCCCUUCGGUGUCGGAGCUAACGCAUUAAGUUCACCGCCUGGGGAGUACGGUCGCAAGAUUAAA
This 376-nucleotide ribosomal RNA is filed under the name uncultured bacterium. RNAcentral's name for it is "bacterial SSU rRNA". It matches the Rfam family "Bacterial small subunit ribosomal RNA", at positions 524 to 898 of the family's 1533-position model. The record is from RNAcentral.